UGGGGAAUAUUGCACAAUGGAGGGAACUCUGAUGCAGCGACGCCGCGUGAGUGAUGAAGGAAUUCGUUUCGUAAAACUCUUUUCUAUGGGAAGAAAAGGACUGUACCAUAGGAGAAAGCUCCGGCUAAAUACGUGCCAGCAGCCGCGGUAAUACGUAUGGAGCGAGCGUUGUCCGGAAUUAUUGGGCGUAAAGGGUGCGCAGGCGGCUUUACAAGUUGGAUGUGAAAUAUUGUGGCUCAACCACAAACGUGCAUCCAAAACUGCAAAGCUUGAGUUAAGGAGAGGUAAGUGGAAUUCCUGGUGUAGCGGUGGAAUGCGUAGAUAUCAGGAGGAAUACCGGUGACGAAGGCGACUUACUGGACUUAAACUGACGCUCAGGCACGAAAGCGUGGGGAGCAAACAGG
Molecule: ribosomal RNA, 404 nt
Filed under: Fusobacteriota bacterium
Lineage: Bacteria; Fusobacteriati; Fusobacteriota
Description: Fusobacteria bacterium partial 16S ribosomal RNA
Rfam family: Bacterial small subunit ribosomal RNA
Source: RNAcentral